UCCCCAUUCUAAGGGACCUCUGAUUGCCUGU
This 31-nucleotide non-coding RNA is filed under the name Homo sapiens (human). Lineage: Eukaryota; Metazoa; Chordata; Mammalia; Primates; Hominidae. The record is from RNAcentral.